AGAGUUUGAUCAUGGCUCAGGAUGAACGCUAGCGGCAGGCUUAAUACAUGCAAGUUGAGGGGCAGCAUGAUAUACGCGAGUAUAUUGAUGGCGACCGGCGGACGGGUGAGUAAUAGGUAGGAGACCUACCUCAUACAGGGGGAUAGCAUAGAGAAAUCUGUGGUAAUACCCCAUGAGGUUAUAUGAAUAGAGGCAUAUAAUCAAAGCAUAAGCGAUUAUGCGGUAUGAGAGGGGCCUACUGACCAUUAGCUAGUUGGUGAGGUAAGGGCUCACCAAGGCGAAGAUGGUUAGGGGUUUUGAGAGAGAGACCCCCCACAUUGGAACUGAGAGACGGUCCAGACUCCUACGGGAGGCAGCAGUAGGGAAUAUUGGGCAAUGGGCGAAAGCCUGACCCAGCCAUGCCGCGUGAAGGAAGACGGCCUUAUGGGUUGUAAACUUCUUUACUACGCGAAUAGAGGUUAGUACGAGAUACUAAUAGGAAGGUAGUGUAGUAAAAAGCACCGGCUAACUCCGUGCCAGCAGCCGCGGUAAUACGGGGGGUGCAAGCGUUAUUCGGAAUUACUGGGUUUAAAGGGUGCGUAGGCGGUUAAAUAAGUUGUCAGUGAAAGGCUACGGCUCAACUGUAGUAGUGCUGGCGAUACUGUAUAACUAAGGACAUGGGAGGGGUACCUGGAAUGUGUGGUGUAGCGGUGAAAUGCGUAGAUAUCACACAGAACACCGGAGGCAAAGGCGGGGUACUAGACCAUAGUUGACGCUGAGGCACGAAAGCGUGGGGAUCAAACAGGAUUAGAUACCCUGAUAGUCCACGCCCUAAACGAUGAUCACUAGAUAUUGGCGACAGACAGUCAGUGUCCAAGCGAAAGUGAUAAGUGAUCCACCUGGGGAAUACGGCCGCAAGGUUAAAACUCAAAUGAAUUGACGG
This 922-nucleotide ribosomal RNA is filed under the name uncultured bacterium. RNAcentral describes it as "bacterial SSU rRNA". It matches the Rfam family "Bacterial small subunit ribosomal RNA", at positions 8 to 916 of the family's 1533-position model. The record is from RNAcentral.